Molecule: microRNA, 22 nt
Filed under: Murid gammaherpesvirus 4 (Murine herpesvirus 68)
Lineage: Duplodnaviria; Heunggongvirae; Peploviricota; Herviviricetes; Herpesvirales; Orthoherpesviridae
Description: mghv-miR-M1-6-3p
Gene: mghv-miR-M1-6-3p
Source: miRBase by way of RNAcentral
UGAAACUGUGUGAGGUGGUUUU